Molecule: non-coding RNA, 4739 nt
Organism: Callithrix jacchus (white-tufted-ear marmoset)
Lineage: Eukaryota; Metazoa; Chordata; Mammalia; Primates; Cebidae
Source: RefSeq, a predicted model, not a curated record
CCUGUUUGAGACAGAGUCUUGCUCAGUCUCCAGGCUCACCGCAACCUCCGCCUCCUGGAUUCAGGCAGUUCUCCUGCCUCAGCCUCCCGAGUAGCCGGGACUACAGGCUCACACCACCACCACACCCAGCUUUUUUGUAGUUUUUAUUAUAGAUGGGAUUUCACCAUGUUGGCCAGGAUGGUCUCGAUCUCUUGACCUCUUGAUCCACCCGCCUCGGCCUCGCAAAGUGCUGGGAUUACAGGCGUGAGCCACCGCGCCCGGCUUGUUUUUUUUUUUUUUUUUUUAAGAGACAAGAGUCUGCUCUGUUCCCCAGGCUGGUCUAGACUCCCGGGCUUGAGCCCCGCCUGGACCUCCCAGAGUGCUGGCUACAGGCGCCGCCACCACCCGGCCUGUUCUGCAAAUGCUCAGAAGCCAGGAUGGCCCAAGGUCACCAGGGACCAUGCUGCCUGGCAGAGGGUUGAGGCCGGGAGGGGACCGUGCAGACAGGCGAGGCCAUUCAUGAUCUGUGGGAAUGGCCGCGGGGAACUCUGUGCCGUCCCGCGGCCCCACCCCGCUCCGCUAUGGGAAGCUGUAGCUUGGCGCUGCCCGCUGUGACGCGAAGGACGGCGAGGGCACCCGGGUCGCGGUGGAAACGGGGGUGGGACCGGGCGCGGCCGGCAGGGGGCAGCAGCUCCACAGCUGCGCGGAGCUUGGGGACAGAGUCCCCAGCGAAUCGCGGCCGGCGUUCUGCCACUUCCCCGCCGCCACCGCACCCACCGGGCUGGGGGGCCGCAGCCGACUGCCGGGCGCGCCGGGACAAAGGGAGCCCCCGGUGGGGCCUGGGCGCCUACAUCUUUCCUCCUGGGGAAGGAGGGGACAGGAAACUGAGGCUGUUUCCGGGCUGCCCCCGGCCGGGGAGAGCAGGGCUCGGGAGGAUCGGCCCGGCCCGAGGCGGUGCCCCAGAGACCGCUGCGCUCUGGCUCUGCACCCCGGAAGAUCAGGGGCGGAGGCCACCCGAACCAACUCAGCCAGGACUGCCCGGGCCGGGAGCUCACUGGGGGGCGCCCCGAAACCCACCCCAGACAAGCGAAGAAAACAGCUCUGUGUCCCAGGACCAGCACUGAUACCUGUUGUCACCCACUGUGCGACCUGGGAGAGUUACUGACCCUCUCCGGGCCUUAAUCAGUCAUUUGAAACACAAGCCAAGCCGGUAGAUAAGAUGGUUUUUUUUUUUUUUUUUUUUUUUUUUUUUUAAAGAUGGGGUUUCACCAUGAUGGCCAGGCUGGUUUUGAACUCCUGACCUCAGGUGAUCCACCCACCUCGGCCUCCCAUAGUGCUAGGAUUACAGGCACUUUGAGUCACCACACCCGGCCGAUAAGAUGGUCUUUAGGCCUCUCCCAGCUCUGAGGUUCCUUGAAUCUAAGACACUCUAGUCCCUCCCGGCGUCCCCACCCGGGGCUGGCUUAGCCUCAGGGAGGCCUGGCUGAACUGGGGCCCUCUCGGAAGGUCUCUGCUCCGCUGCUCAGAAAAGGUCUUUUGGAAGGCUGGGUCCCACCCAGCGGAAGGUGCCAGAGGAACAGGCCAUUGCCUAAAAAGCCUGGACAAAUUAAAAACCAGCAGCUCUGCCCUGGUGUUUUCCGAGCACAGCCAAACCCAAAUCACACCUCUGCACCCACCUGGCUCCAGCAGCAUUUCCAGCCCGCAGAUGUUAUUUUUACACCCUUUCCACGCAGGGAAGCACUGAGGAGGGUAAACUAUUUUUAGAAUGCUAUUUUAAGUAACAUACUGGCCUGAGGAGGUGGCUCAGGCCUGUAAUCCAGCGCCUUGGGAGGCCCAGGCAGGAGAAUCCCUUGAGGCCAGGAGUUCAAUACCAGCCGGCGCAGCAAAGAGACUCCCAUCUCUAUUAAAUAAAUAAAUAGGCCGGGCAUGGUGGCUCAAGCCUGUAAUCCUGGCACUUUGGGAGGCCGAGGCGGGUGGAUCACGAGGUCAAGAGAUCGAGACCAUCCUGGUCAACAUGGUGAAACGCCAUCUCUACUAAAAAUACAAAAAUUAGCUGGGCAUGGUGGUGCGUGCCUGUAAUCCCAGCUACUCAGGAGGCUGAGGCAGGAGAAUUGCCUGAACCCAGGAGGCGGAGGUUGCGGUGAGCCAAGAUCGCACCAUUGUACUCCAGCCUGGGUAACAAGAGCGAAACUCCAUCUCAAAAAAAAUAAUAAUAAUAAUAAGAUAAAAAAUAAAUAAAAUAAAAAUAAUAAUAUAAAUAAAUAAACAGCCGGGCGUGGUGGUGUGCCCCGUGGUCCCAACUACCUGAGAGGCUGGGAAGGGCCUGACUAGCCAUAAGGAAAGCACCAGCUGAGCCCUGGGGCUGUGUUGAGCGCGCCCCCUGGGGGCCCACCAGCUCCAGCUCUGCCUCUAUUGUGACAAGGACCUCAGGAGACCCCAAGCGGAACUGCCCAGACCCGUGACCCACAGACUGGGCGGGGAGGGCGGGGGAUCACACAUUUUUGUUUUUGUUUUAAGCCACUACGUUUUGGGAUGUUUGCUACAUGGCAGUAAACAGAACAGCAACCAUGAGAGUAACGGAUUCAGACAGAAGUGCUCCGCGGGUGCAGAUCAGAUGAAUGCUCCAUGGACAUUUAGUUCGAGAGGACUAGGCCACGAGGAAUAAAAGCAAGAAAGAAGAACUGGCCAUGGGCAAGACUGUUGCUGGUUCAUUUUGCCAAAUCGGAGAUCACAGCACGUUCAGGCCAGAGGCUGUCUGCAUCUGCCUGUGCUGGACAUCCCUGCAGCCACGGCAACUUGCUACGCAAGUCCAUUCUCCUAAAGUCCGUCUACCAACUGUUAAACGGCUGCUGUCAGGAUUCAAUGAGAACACGGGAGAGGGUUCUGGAAGCAUCUGCAGGCCCUAAGCCUGAGGCGCCGUCGCUGCCGUCCUGUCUCCCGGCAGCAGGCUGCAGUUGUGGCUAGGAGCUCUCCCACUGCCCACCUCUGCUGAUGCCCGCAGACUCACCUGUCUCUCCGGCGUGGAAGAACAUGGGUUACCAGGUCAAACCCAGCCACCACCGUAGGGAACUUGGUCCGGAGCCCCAUGGCUGUUCGGAUGGAUCCGGCGAUGACAGUCACAUCUUUGGAUCUGUGAGACAGACGGAGAAGCCAGGAGAUAGUGCCCAGCAUGGACAGAGCUACGCACCCCAGAGCGCUCCCUCUGUGCGGGGCUGGGCUGCCCUGAGUGCACAGCAGCUGUUUCCCAAACCUGAGGCACCCCUGCUCUCCUGACCCCACCCCGACCAGGCCACUGCGACCCCAAAUCCAUUCUUCCAAGACACUUGCUGGCUCUGGGGGGACCUGUAGUCUCUGAAAAGUAGGUGGGGUCAGAGGACCCACGGGAACGGUCUUCUUUGUCUGCAUUCAGACGAGGCCAAGUGGCCUUGUUCUCAACUCUCCCUGCAUCUCUGUGAGGGGGUGUGGACGUGAAUGCCAUUCAGGGACAGCUCUCUGUCCACUGGACACCUGCAAAGGGCCACAGGUCACCCAAGGCCCUGUCGAGUUGGCUGGACCCGGUAACCAUCUGGCCUCUUGCUGAUUACAUCAGCAGGACCCUGGGCACUGUAGAAACCCUACUGGGGCAAGGCAGGCAGCAUGACAACAAAAACCCAAAACACAGGGUCUGGCGCAAGCCCACGACAGGCUCCAGGUGUCUGCCCCGACACUGACUCUUCGGCUCCAAUCCUUGGCUCUGCGGGGACAAAGCCUUCCUGGCCUGCCCCACCUGUGGCCUCUCCCUGGAGCCUAGGCGAACCUGGGGGCACUGGUGCACUCAGCUCAGCCCUCACACCCUCCUGCCAUUGGCCCUGGCAAGGGGCAGCUGGCACCAGGGAGCUGCUGAGCAGAACCUGGGCCCAUCCUGCUAGCUCCCUCCUAGGGGGAUGGGUACACAGGCCAGAGCUCAGCUCCUCCAGGCCCCAGGCCCCAUGGAAGAGGAGGGGACUCAGGAGGACUGGGCACAGGAGGAGGUUCCUGGCGAGUCAAUGCCCUGCAGAGCCCAGGCUUGUGGGUGGGCUGAGCAGAGGAGCCGCCAUGCUGGAUCCCUUCACUGCCCACCCUGUGCCUGACUCCGAGUGACCCCACUGGCUGCUGCUCUUGCGGCUGUGACCACGGACAGGUCCCAGCCUUAGUCUGGCUGCUCUUUAAAAUGAGGGGAGAGGUCCUGCCUGGUAACGUCGGGACACUGACGCUGCAAAGCUUUCUGUGCUUCCCUGGGAAAGAGAGUGGGUCUUUCACCCAGGUGCCAGGCCACGCACGUGGUGCUAUGGGGUUCUCCAUACGCAGACCUGAGUCGGUGCCACUCAGGACGUCUCCCUGAUCAGGGACUCGCACACAACCACACGCAGAACAAACUGAACCCAAACAAUGGGCCAAUUAUCCAAACAUUCAGGCAAAACCACUACACUCAUAACUGUCAGCCAGGCCAACAUGGAGUCACAGCCAAGAAUUAGCUGGGAAAUCGACUCGCUCUUCCUUUCAGUUUGGUGGUGAAGACCUGAACUAGGAGGGGCUUCAGGACCCAUUCCUCCUACUGUCCUCACACACAGAAAGCCCCUUGGCACCCGUGCUGGGCGGCGUCUCCCGAACUGCCAGCCCCGCUUCUCGCCACUCCCCUCCCAGCCUAGCAGCCCUGCCUCCCUCCCAGUCUCCCAACCCCAGCUCUUCAGCAAUGUUCUCUCUCACCUGUGAUCCGAAUAAAUGAUUUUGAUUCCAAUAAA